RNAcentral lists this ribosomal RNA (368 nucleotides) under uncultured bacterium. RNAcentral's name for it is "bacterial SSU rRNA". It matches the Rfam family "Bacterial small subunit ribosomal RNA", at positions 917 to 1289 of the family's 1533-position model. The record is from RNAcentral.
GGGCCCGCACAAGCGGUGGAGUAUGUGGUUUAAUUCGAUGCAACGCGAAGAACCUUACCAGGGCUUGACAUCCUGCGAACCUCUGGGAAACCGGAGGGUGCCUUCGGGAACGCAGUGACAGGUGGUGCAUGGCUGUCGUCAGCUCGUGUCGUGAGAUGUUGGGUUAAGUCCCGCAACGAGCGCAACCCACGUCUUUAGUUGCCAGCAUUUAGUUGGGCACUCUAGAGAGACUGCCGGUGAUAAACCGGAGAAGGUGUGGAUGACGUCAAGUCAUCAUGCCCCUUACAUCUGGGCUACACACGUACUACAAUGCUACGGACAAAGGGCAGCAAACUCGCGAGAGCUAGCAAAUCCCAUAAACGUGGCUC